This 2586-nucleotide long non-coding RNA is filed under the name Nicotiana benthamiana. RNAcentral's name for it is "long non-coding RNA (NBEN_LNC025613)". The record is from RNAcentral. Lineage: Eukaryota; Viridiplantae; Streptophyta; Magnoliopsida; Solanales; Solanaceae.
UUGAGAGAGAUAGAGAAAGAAAAAUAAUUCUUGACAAGAAAAUUAGUUUUCUUGGUCUUUCACAUUUUAGCUAUAGUUUUUGAGAAAAACUUUAGCAUAACAUUUCCGUUCAAUUUGUUCGCGGGUUUCAUUUAUCAAAGAGUUGAUAAGCAAGGAUCGGUCUUUUAGCAUAACAUUUUCGUUCAAUUUGUUCGCGGGUUUCAUUUAUCAAAGAGUUGAUAAGCAAGGAUCGGUCUUGGUGUGGAUACGCAUAGAGUCUUCGCACUAUCGGAGAAAUUUCAGAAAAGAAACUCUCUUCACCAGGUACGCCUUAAAUCUUAUUUUUAUACGUAAAUAAAUUUUUUAAACACGAGAAAAUCUACCUAGGAUUGUUAUUGUCUUCCGCUGCGUGUUACGAACACCCAUACGUAAUCCGACAGAGACUAUAUCAGAUUUGAACAACUUGAAGCUGUAAUUAGGACCCCAUUCUAGUAUAGGAAAAACAUACUGAGCACCAAGAAUUAGCUUCUGUUUCAAUGGCUGACCUUUGAAUUGACGUAAAGGGUCAUCAGGGAAAAAGGUUUCUUUAAGCCUAUUUUUGAGUUUUUGGAAAGUGCUUCUAUGGGGUGGAGAAACAACUUUGUGUACCUCCAUAGCUGUUAUAUCUAUAACUCUGUUCUCAUUAUUUGGUUCCAUUUUGGUCUAAUUAAUGAGAAUGGAUUUGAAUGCAAAAUGUCUAUGGUUCCUUUCCUCCUAUUUAUAUUUCUAUCAACUUUCAAAAAGACAACUACCAAACAAACUAGUACUAUUCCACUUGAUAAUUUCUAUACCUUGGAAAAAGAACAAAUAACCCUAAAAUUGUUUUUAGGAGGGACUGAAAAUAAGAAGAAUGUAACAGUAGUGGUGUUGAAUAUUUUUCCUUGACCAGAGACUUUGGGCGGACUAAAUUUAUAGGUAAAAAAUGGACAUGUAGAAUCUAAAAGGUGAUCACAAAUCUAGUUAAUAUUUGAGUAGAAAUAUCAAACAAGUAAUCUUACUCAAGACUUGGCAUUUGUAUGGAAGGUAAUAGUUAGUGUUAUUGUUCAAAAGAUGGAGAAAGAGAAGUUGGAUAAGAUUCUGAUGAAAAUAAGGUGAGAUUUUGUGAUAGGUACAUAUAUAUCCAAGUAAUAUAUGAAAUGGGAAAAAUGAGAAAAUUAAUAGAGAAAUUUCAUUAAAUGGAAGGGUGCAUUUUUCUAAGAAGGUUAUGAAAUUUAUACAAAAAAUAUAGAGUCAAGGGUCAAGAUUAUAAAUGAAGAGUACUCAGAGUCUCAGAGGGAUAGUUUUAUAUAAAGUGAUAUGUGGAGGUCGGUAUGGCGGCAAACUGCUCUUUACUAAUUUUUAUUUUAUCUCAUCAUAUAAAGAUUUUUUUUUGUAGAAACUUCGCAGUGGGAUGAAAUACAAAUAAAAUACGAGAUCACAUAAGGCUAUGUUUAGUAAUUAUUUUUUUUCUCUUACUAAUGUUGUAGACAAGAGGGGUUGCUCGCAACCCCCACUUCCAACCGAGAGAUUGUUAGUUCGAGUCUCCCUAAGAGCAAGAUGGGAAGUUUUUGGAGGGAAGGAUGCCGGGGAUCUAUCUGAAAAUAGCCUCUCUACCCAAGGAUAGGGGUAAGGUAUGCGUACAUACUACCCUCCCCAGACCCCACUAAGUGGGAUUAUACUGGAUUGUUGUUGUUGUUGUUACUACUAAUAUUGUAAUUUCACCUUUUUGAUCAAAUUAUUCUUUAAUAAUUAUAUAUCUUCUAGUAUUCAAGAUCUCGGUGUUGUUUUAGGAAAGAUAUUUUGUGAAUUAGAAAAUAUUUUUAAGGAUAAAAUAAUAUAAGUUUUGAUCAAAUAAAAAUAUUUAUAAGUUGAAAAGUCUUGGGGUGACCAACUUAGCUCAACUUAUGGCGUUGAUUGAUUUUGAUAAGUUGAAAAGUCUUGGGGUGACCAAAUUAGCUCAACUUAUGACUUUGAUUGUUUUUUGGUUUAUAAGCACUUUCCGAAUUUAUCAAUCACAUAAAUAAAUCAAAAUAUACAUUAUAAACUUAGUCAGACAUUCUCUGCAUUGCUACAGUGAAAUAACAAUUGGAUUGAUCAAAUAAAAUUUAUGUCCAAAAAGGAUCUUUUAACUUGCUCUGAAUAGAUUAUAGCAAUUAGAUUUUCAAGGAUUUCUUGAUAAAAAUUCUCAACAAGAUCUAUAUUGGAGUACUUUUAUUAAUUUUGCAUUCAAGUAAAUAUACCUCUUAUGUCAUUAUUUGGUGCAGAGUUGCAAAUUCAGCGCUAGAAUGACGUCGGCUUACUUAAUUUUACUUUUGAAGGUGAAAUACGAAUAAAAUGUUGAUAUGAAUUGAUUAUAUCUUUUUCUUUUUAUAUUCUGCUUUAUUAAUAAGGCACGAAAAUAAAGUAAUACUUACACAUGUCUGAAUAUCAUGCACACAAUAGAAAGUUCUCAAAUUUGUUUGAUUUACUGGCUUGCCUAUUCCUCGCUAAAAUCGUUGUUACACAAAUAGUCAAUUAAAUUUACUUUUUUACUUUUUUUAGUUAGUAAUUCAAUAUAAAUUAUACACAAUUAUAUAUAUAUUAUAUAUA